This 413-nucleotide ribosomal RNA is filed under the name Vibrio fluvialis. RNAcentral describes it as "bacterial SSU rRNA". It matches the Rfam family "Bacterial small subunit ribosomal RNA", at positions 424 to 829 of the family's 1533-position model. The record is from RNAcentral. Lineage: Bacteria; Pseudomonadati; Pseudomonadota; Gammaproteobacteria; Vibrionales; Vibrionaceae.
UGUAAAGUACUUUCAGCAGGGAGGAAGGGGGUAUCGUUAAUAGCGGUAUCUUUUGACGUUAGSUGCAGAAGAAGCACCGGCUAACUCCGUSCCAGCAGCCGCGGUAAUACGGAGGGUGCGAGCGUUAAUCGGAAUUACUGGGCGUAAAGCGCAUGCAGGUGGUUUGUUAAGUCAGAUGUGAAAGCCCGGGGCUCAACCUCGGAAUUGCAUUUGAAACUGGCAGGCUAGAGUACUGUAGAGGGGGGUAGAAUUUCAGGUGUAGCGGUGAAAUGCGUAGAGAUCUGAAGGAAUACCGGUGGCGAAGGCGGCCCCCUGGACAGAUACUGACACUCAGAUGCGAAAGCGUGGGGAGCAAACAGGAUUAGAUACCCUGGUAGUCCACGCCGUAAACGAUGUCUACUUGGAGGUUGUGG